AUUGAACGCUGGCGGCAUGCCUUACACAUGCAAGUCGAACGGCAGCACGGGAGCAAUCCUGGUGGCGAGUGGCGAACGGGUGAGUAAUAUAUCGGAACGUGCCCAGUGAUGGGGGAUAGCCCGGCGAAAGCCGGAUUAAUACCGCAUACGACCUACGGGUGAAAGCAGGGGAUCGCAAGACCUUGCGUCAUUGGAGCGGCCGAUAUCAGAUUAGCUUGNGGUGGGGUAAAGCCUACCAAGGCGACGAUCUGUAGCUGGUCUGAGAGGACGACCAGCCACACUGGGACUGAGACACGGCCCAGACUCCUACGGGAGGCAGCAGUGGGGAAUUUUGGACAAUGGGCGCAAGCCUGAUCCAGCCAUGCCGCGUGCGGGAAGAAGGCC
Molecule: ribosomal RNA, 384 nt
Filed under: uncultured bacterium
Lineage: Bacteria
Description: bacterial SSU rRNA
Rfam family: Bacterial small subunit ribosomal RNA
Source: RNAcentral